CAAGUUGUCAACAGGUUUGGAACAACUUGUUGACAACUUGUAACAACCUUGUCGAAAUUAUCAGACUUGUUGCAAGGUUGUUCUGACAAGUCCGUGACAGCUUGAUAUAACAAGAUUGUUACAACCUUGUGUUGACAACCUUGUAACAUCCUUGUUUUAUCAUGGCUGUAACAAACUUGUUAGCACAAUCUUGUAACAAGGCUGACAAUGCAUCAAGCUUGUUAUAAGUUGUUAACAGCUUGUUUCAAACUUGUUACAACAAACUG
Paramuricea clavata is the source of this 266-nucleotide non-coding RNA. The record is from the annotation of a GenBank genome assembly. Lineage: Eukaryota; Metazoa; Cnidaria; Anthozoa; Malacalcyonacea; Plexauridae.